GUCCUUAUGAUUAUAAUAUAAGGUUUAAUCUGCCCAUUGAAUUUUUAACGGCCGCAGUAAUUUGACUGUGCGAAGGUAGCAUAAUCAAUAGUUUUUUAAUUGAAAGCUAGUAUGAAUGAUUGGACGAGAGAAAGACUUUUUUGAUUUUAAAUAAUUAUAAUUUUAUUUUUAAGUUAAAAAGCUUAAAUUUUUUUAAAAGACGAGAAGACCCUAUAGAGUUUAAUAAUUUAAUAAUUAUUAUUUUUAGUUAAUUUUAAAAUAAUUAAUAAGAUUAUUUGAUUGGGGUGAUUUUAAAAUUUAAUAAACUUUUAUUUAUAGAAACAAUAAUAUUUGAAUAUUUGAUCCUAUAAUAGAUUAAAAGAUUAAAUUACCUUAGGGAUAACAGCGUAAUUUUUUUGAAGAGUUCUUAUCGAUAAAAAAGAUUGCGACCUCGAUGUUGGAUUAAGAUAAAAUUUUAAUGUAGAAGUUAAAAAUUUAAGUCUGUUCGACUUUUAAAAUCUUACA
Molecule: ribosomal RNA, 504 nt
Filed under: Brachygluta helferi
Lineage: Eukaryota; Metazoa; Arthropoda; Insecta; Coleoptera; Staphylinidae
Description: partial 16S ribosomal RNA
Rfam family: Bacterial large subunit ribosomal RNA (bases 378-504)
Source: RNAcentral